RNAcentral lists this ribosomal RNA (254 nucleotides) under uncultured Vitreoscilla sp. RNAcentral's name for it is "partial 16S ribosomal RNA". It matches the Rfam family "Bacterial small subunit ribosomal RNA", at positions 524 to 776 of the family's 1533-position model. The record is from RNAcentral. Lineage: Bacteria; Pseudomonadati; Pseudomonadota; Betaproteobacteria; Neisseriales; Neisseriaceae.
UACGUAGGGUGCAAGCGUUAAUCGGAAUUACUGGGCGUAAAGCGAGCGCAGGCGGUUAUUUAAGUCAGGUGUGAAAGCCCCGAGCUCAACUUGGGACGUGCAUUUGAAACUGGAUAACUAGAGUGUGUCAGAGGGGGGUAGAAUUCCACGUGUAGCAGUGAAAUGCGUAGAGAUGUGGAGGAAUACCGAUGGCGAAGGCAGCCCCCCUGGGAUAACACUGACGCUCAUGCUCGAAAGCGUGGGUAGCAAACAGG